Molecule: ribosomal RNA, 201 nt
Filed under: uncultured bacterium
Lineage: Bacteria
Description: partial 16S ribosomal RNA
Rfam family: Bacterial small subunit ribosomal RNA
Source: RNAcentral
GUAGUCUGCAACUCGACUACAUGAAGCUGGAAUCGCUAGUAAUCGCAGAUCAGAAUGCUGCGGUGAAUACGUUCCCGGGUCUUGUACACACCGCCCGUCACACCAUGGGAGUCGGAUAUGCCCGAAGCCAGUGACCCAACCGUAAGGAGGGAGCUGUCGAAGGUGGAGCCGAUAACUGGGGUGAAGUCGUAACAAGGUAAC